This 497-nucleotide ribosomal RNA is filed under the name uncultured bacterium. RNAcentral's name for it is "partial 16S ribosomal RNA". It matches the Rfam family "Bacterial small subunit ribosomal RNA", at positions 28 to 507 of the family's 1533-position model. The record is from RNAcentral.
GAUGAACGCUGGCGGCGUGCCUAAUACAUGCAAGUCGAGCGAACGGACGAGAAGCUUGCUUCUCUGAUGUUAGCGGCGGACGGGUGAGUAACACGUGGAUAACCUACCUAUAAGACUGGGAUAACUUCGGGAAACCGGAGCUGAUACCGGAUAAUAUUUUGAACCGCAUGGUUCAAAAGUGAAAGACGGUCUUGCUGUCACUUAUAGAUGGAUCCGCGCUGCAUUAGCUAGUUGGUAAGGUAACGGCUUACCAAGGCAACGAUGCAUAGCCGACCUGAGAGGGUGAUCGGCCACACUGGAACUGAGACACGGUCCAGACUCCUACGGGAGGCAGCAGUAGGGAAUCUUCCGCAAUGGGCGAGAGCCUGACGGAGCAACGCCGCGUGAGUGAUGAAGGUCUUCGGAUCGUAAAACUCUGUUAUUAGGGAAGAACAUAUGUGUAAGUAACUGUGCACAUCUUGACGGUACCUAAUCAGAAAGCCACGGCUAACUACGUG